GGGGGAAAGGGGGGGAUCUAUUUAUAGACCUUUCGCUAUUAGAUGAGCCUGCGUCGGAUUAGCUAGUUGGUAAGGUAAUGGCUUACCAAGGCGACGAUCCCUAGCUGGUCUUAGAGGAUGACCAGCCACACUGGAACUGAGACACGGUCCAGACUCCUACGGGAGGCAGCAGUGGGGAAUAUUGCACAAUGGAGGAAACUCUGAUGCAGCCAUGCCGCGUGUGUGAAGAAGGCUUUCGGGUUGUAAAGCACUUUCAGUGGGGAGGAAAGGUUGUAUGUUAAUAGCAUGCAGCUGUGACGUUACCCACAGAAGAAGCACCGGCUAACUCCGUGCCAGCAGCCGCGGUAAUACGGAGGGUGCGAGCGUUAAUCGGAAUUACUGGGCGUAAAGCGCGCGUAGGUGGUUAAUUAAGUCAGAUGUGAAAGCCCAGGGCUCAACCUUGGAACUGCAUUUGAAACUGGUUAACUAGAGUUUUGUAGAGGGUGGUAGAAUUUCAGGUGUAGCGGUGAAAUGCGUAGAGAUCUGAAGGAAUACCAGUGGCGAAGGCGGCCACCUGGACAAAGACUGACACUGAGGCGCGAAGGCGUGGGGAGCAAACGGGAUUAGAUACCCCGGUAGUCCACGCAGUAAACGAUGUCUAUUAGAAGUUUGUGGCUAUAUGCCGUGGGUUUCAAAGCUAACGCAUUAAAUAGACCGCCUGGGGAGUACGGCCGCAAGGUUAAAACUCAAAUGAAUUGACGGGGGCCCGCACAAGCGGUGGAGCAUGUGGUUUAAUUCGAUGCAACGCGAAGAACCUUACCAUCCCUUGACAUCCAGAGAAUCACCUAGAGAUAGAUGAGUGCCUUCGGGAACUCUGAGACAGGUGCUGCAUGGCUGUCGUCAGCUCGUGUUGUGAAAUGUUGGGUUAAGUCCCGCAACGAGCGCAACCCUUAUCCUUACUUGCCAGCGGGUUAUGCCGGGAACUUUAGGGAGACUGCCGGUGAUAAACCGGAGGAAGGUGGGGACGACGUCAAGUCAUCAUGGCCCUUACGGGAUGGGCUACACACGUGCUACAAUGGCAGAUACAAAGGGUUGCUAACCUGCGAGGGUAUGCGAAUCUCAUAAAGUCUGUCGUAGUCCGGAUCGGAGUCUGCAACUCGACUCCGUGAAGUUGGAAUCGCUAGUAAUCGUGGAUCAGAAUGCCACGGUGAAUACGUUCCCGGGCCUUGUACACACCG
This 1217-nucleotide ribosomal RNA is filed under the name uncultured prokaryote. RNAcentral describes it as "partial 16S ribosomal RNA". It matches the Rfam family "Bacterial small subunit ribosomal RNA", at positions 198 to 1392 of the family's 1533-position model. The record is from RNAcentral.